Non-coding RNA from Chrysemys picta bellii (western painted turtle), 4900 nucleotides. The record is from RefSeq and is a predicted model, not a curated record. NCBI's taxonomy places the organism in Eukaryota, Metazoa, Chordata, Testudines, Emydidae.
CCAGAAUUAGUAAAGUUUGACUACAUUUAUUUCAGAAGCAUUUUGGCUGUAGAGCAGUGUAACAGGCCUGCACGAUGCCAGCUCUGCCACAGGGCUGGGAUAUUUUUACCUGCAUGCCAUGAUAUCACGGCCCUGCAAUGAGCUUUCCAACCUCACUGCCCUGUAGCUCAGCCAGUGUGAUACCAUGGCAUGCAACCGAGCUGGGUAACAAAGCCUGUGAUCUGACAGGUUCAGUGCAGCCUUUUGCAGGAAUUUAGUGGCAAGGUAAGAUCUGUAGCUUUGCAGGUGUUGGUGUCAUUCUGGCUCAGCCCCAUUCAGCUUCCCACCCUCACCCCCUUCAGGACCAUCUGCAGACACUCCACAGCCUCCACUUUUGUUAGCUAAUUCUAAACUAGCUUAAUACCUCUGUAGGAAUUUAAACAGCUUCUACAGCUUCAUGAACAGGAGCUGGCGUUUUAAAAGCCUAACACUCCCUGAUUAGGACAGCGAGAGAUCUCUGUGGUAAAAGCCCUUUAGGAGGUUUCAGCCCUUAUGCCUCUGAAUGAUUGUUCUUUUAUUUUACAAGGAAAAGCUAUUACAAAAGGUAGCAGAAACCCACAACUCUGAUUCCCAAGCAUUUUAAAUGAAAUCCCAAAGCAGAAUUCACCCCAUCAUAUUCCCAGAGAUAAAUGAAACAUGCAACAGCAAAAUAUUGUUGCUCUAUGGCCUGAUUUAUUGCUACUGCAUGGUGUUAAAUACUUUGCAUUAGGAUAUGGCCCUUCGUAUACAAUCUACCCAGUUAAAAUCUCUGCUCCUUCCCCUGUUGUUGAUGUCACACAAAAGUUUCUGGCUGAUUCAGUUGGAUCACACUGAUUUCUUCUUCUAAAUGAGGAAACUUCUCUCCCAUUCAGGAUCUUGUUUUCCCAGAUUAAAUGUCUCUCUUCUUUAAUUCAGCCUCUAGACUCGCUCAUGUCUGAGGAAUUGUGUGCAAAGUUGUCCCCUGGGCAAGGAGCAGCUAUGCAGAUUUCAGGGCAAGGUCAGCUCUUCAGCCAGGCGAACAGGUGACAAGAUCUCUCUCAGGCUGGGAUUUGCUCCUCUCUCUUCUCCCCUCUUGUUCUCACUCUCUUCCCAGCCAGGAUGUCGCACAGGGAGAAGGGGAAGGAUGUGCCUCUAGGAGGAACGCCUGAAGGUGGGAAUGGCGGAGUGCUUGGCCAGCUGCUCAGGCAUCACCAGCUCCAGGGUGGCUUGGAGCUGCGACGACCCAAAGGUGGGGAGAUGGCUGUUCAGCCUCAGCUGCUCGGCCUCUGUGGACACCCAGCUGUAGAGGUCACUCACAAAGGAUUUCAUCAGCUUUCUGGCUUUGCCUGACAUGCGCACCUUGCCCUGGUGCAGCUGGCACAGGAUUCUGGAGACAUACAGGGAGUGGGAGCAUUUCUUCACCAGGCUGCUCCUUGCUGGCUCUGGUCGUCUCCUGCUGCCCUUCCUGAGGCUGGAGCAUCCUCCACUUGGGCUUUGGAUGCAUCCUUCUGCAUAAGGGCCACUUUCUCCUCUGAGCCUGAGCCACCUUCUUCCUUCCUGCCUGGGCACCUGCCAUGGCUCCACUCUGGGACGGCUCAGCUCAUUUCAGUUCCUACCGCACCUGCUGCCCUCUUAUAUAUUGGCUGGCAUGCAAAUGAGGGGUGCUCAUUGUGACAGACCCCAUUACCCAACUAUGCAUGACUAUGAUCAGUUCCUUCCCCUAUGUGAAUGAAAAAACCUGCCUGCUCAUUGGCAAUCAAGAUGCUACAGCACCUUUAUGGACUUAUAAUAGACUCCUGCUACCCCACAGAGAUUUAUGGGGAAUAAUUACACAUUAUUAUAAUUAAAAUAUUCGAAGGAUCACCAAUGAAUGAUUAUUCUCAUGAUAAUAUUAUAUUAUAGAUUUAUAGUCAAUUCAUUAAUUAUCAUGGACUUACUAUUGACAUUAUCACGUGUUUGUUAUUUAUUUUAUUAUUGUGUUAUUAUUCACUUUUAUUGAUGACUAUCAACCAUUGAAAGUAUUUGGUGCCAUGUCCUACUCUCUCUCACCAGUAUAAAUCCAUGCUAACUCAGUUGCGGCCAUUGGAGUUAGUGAAGUAUAAAUCCGGAGCAAAUGAUGGCAAAAUUUGGCCCUAUUUCUUGGGCAACAUUUGCUUUGACAAAUGUCUAAGGUGACAGGCCAGGAUUUCAGACUUUGUACGUUAAUUGAAUUGUGAUUUAUAAUAUUUUCUCCUCUGAUAAUCUGACUCCCGUGUCUGAAUUUAGGUGCAAAAACGCUGGAGCACCCAAAAUUCACAGGCACUUUGGAAAAUGUUGGCCUCUUUUCAGGGCUGGAUUAUGACAUUCUGAGGCCCGAAGCUAUCAAGUGAAAGAAGCCCCAUACCAUAAAAAAAAUGAAGGUUCCUGAAAUUGACAGAGGGAAGCCAACACAAAUGUAUCCUCUUCAAGAACCACUCGACCCAAGUCCAUAAAACGAUCACCUGCAAACUCAAUCAUGUGAAGCAUGGAUAACUCAUGAAGCAGAAAGCGGCGUGCACACUAAAAUACACAAUUCUAUACUCUUCAGGGUCUCUGCAGCAAAGGAAGCUGUGGCGAAUCAAGGUGUGAAAUGCACUAAAGCCCCAUGAAGGAGUCAGUGCUUCAGCAGAGCAACAGGACAGGACCCUGGGCUCCUGAGGAGGACCCUUCCAGACACAUCUCACAGACUCAAAAUGGCCCAGGGAUUUGGGUCUUAUCUUGGGCUGCAGAACAACAUCCACAUUUCACUCCAGAUCGUCCCAUCCUCCCAGGAGAUGGGAAAAAUGACAUGGCUGCAGCGGAGCUGGUGACCUUUGAGGAGGUGGCUGUGUAUUUCACUGAGGAAGAAUGGGCUCUGCUGAACCCAGGUCAGAGAGCCCUCUACAGGGCCAUCAUGCAGGAGAACUAUGAGACUGUGACCUCACUGGGUAAAGGAUUCCUGUCCUCUCAGCAAUCCCUGGUCUCCCCGGUCUCCUUUCCCAGGAUUUGCAGUUCCCAAACCUGCUGUGAUCUCCUGGCUGGAGCAAGGGGAAGAACCGUGUUUCCCAAAUCUGCAGGGCACUGAGGAAAGUGAGAUCUCCAGGAGCUUAGCACAGGGAGUGCCUCCUGUCUGGAUUCUCUCUCUGUCCCAGAAGGUCAUCGGUAUCGGUGAGUGAGACCGAGGAGGGGAACCCUCAGCAGGAAGGUUCAGAGCAAGUGGAAUCGCUUGGGUCGGUAUUGGCAAAAUCUGAAGGGGAUGUUUCCCAUGGUCAGUGUAGACCAGAAAUAGAGGAGAGAAGCCACCUAGUGGAGGCACGGGGUCAGGAUCCUGGGGACGGUUUUCAGGACCUGAAAGAAAUUAUGAUCGAACCAAAAAUCCAUAUGAGAGAGAGUAAAUACACAUGCACUGAGUGUGGGAGACGCUUUGGGCAGAGCUCGGACCUUAUUGUACACCAGAGAACGCACACGGGAAAGAGCCCCUACAGCUGCCUUGAGUAUGGGCAAAGCUUCAGCCACAACUCCAACCUGCUCCAGCACAGGAGGAGCGACAUGGGGGAGAAACCCUUUAUCUACCCUGUCUGCGGGUUUCCAGCUCCCAGCCCUGCCCAGACCCAUUUCCUGCAGCACCCCGGGACAGCUUGACUUUCCUGGGACAAGGUGAUGAGCAGAGAUAGGAAAAGCCAGUUCCUGCCUCUGCCUCGUCCCCACACUGUGAGAGAAACCCUACAACUGCCCCGAGUACGGGCAGAGCUUCAGCCACAGCUCGAAUUUCCUGAGGCACCAGAGAACCCACACAGGGGAGAAGCCCUUUCAAUGCCCCGAGUGUGAGAAGAGCUUCCGAGAGAGAUCAGACAUCUACAGGCACUACAGAACCCACAUGGGGGAGAGAUCCUACCAGUGCCUUGACUGCGGGAAGGGCUUUGCUGUGAACUCAGACUUGAGAACACGAGAGUUCACACGGGAGAGAAACCUUAUCAGUGUCUGGGGUGUGGAAGGAUCUUCAGCCGGACCUGCCACCUGAUUGCACAUCAGCGAACGUUCAUGACCUAUAAGGCCCCAAGAGCAGAGGGGGGAGUGAAAAACACAUUUACUGAUCUUCUUGUGUGUCAGGGGAAUCAGCUAUGGCAUAUCUGUCUGCCUGUCUCUGUAUGCUUGUCCCUAGUUCCUCUUCCCUUCCACCACCACUGUAUGGCCCUACAAAUGCCACAUCUGUUCUCCUUUUGCUGGCCUUGCUGUGUCGAGGUUCCUUCUUGGGAUGUUUCUUUUGGAGUGAGGCAUUAGUGGGGGUAAGCCAGAGCGGUGUAGAGAUCUGAUGUCAGCUGGGUAUAGAGCAAACUUUUUGGCCUGAGGGCCGCAUCGGGUUUUAUAAAUUGUAUAGAGGGCCUGUUGGAGAAAAACGAGUCCUCACUCUGAGUUUGAAGCAACAAGCCAGAGGCAGUUUAUUCUCAAGCAAUUGCAAAAGGGGGAGAGUGCACAACGGCAGGUCUCCCAAAAGAGAAACAAUUAAGACAAGCAUUUAUACCUUUUGUUACAUACAGUAAUGAUCAACAGCUGCAUUUUGUUUAUACAUAUUCCUUCCAAAUAGCUUACUUUUCUCAGCAGUUCUUGCUAUAGUCUGCAUUCCAUUCUUAACUAACACAAGGUCAAAACAACCUCUCUUACAGUUCUUUUUCACUCGCCCAGGCCCUGCCUGGAAGUCUCGCGUUCUUAGCUGUUAGAGUUAGCCUGACUCUUGCUCUUCCUAGAAGACUAAGAUGUCUGCGCUUUUUUCCACUUCCACAGGCCGGUUAGGGGAGGGAGUCAUGGCUGGGCCCCCACCUCCUAUCUGCCCCCCCAGGACUCCUGCCCCAUCCAACCCCCGCUGUUCUCUGACUGCCCCCAGAACCCCUGCCCCUGACUGCCCCCA